Molecule: ribosomal RNA, 119 nt
Filed under: Podarcis muralis (Common wall lizard)
Lineage: Eukaryota; Metazoa; Chordata; Lepidosauria; Squamata; Lacertidae
Source: RNAcentral
GUCUACGGCCAUACUUUCCUGAACACGCCCGAUCUCGUCUGAUCUUGGAAGCUAAGCAGGCUCAGGCCUGGUCAGUACUUGGCUGGGAGACCGCCUGGGAAUACUGGGUGCUGUAGGCU